AGGAUCAUUAUUGAAUAAACUUGCACAGGUUGUUGCUGACCUUCCCAAGUGGGGGGGGGUACGUGCACACUUGUCAUCUUUAUUUCUCCAACUGUGCACAUAUUGUAGACCCUGGGGAAGUCAUUGAAUUCAUUUCGAGUUGGGACUGCUGCGCUUCAUUGAAUUGAAGUCAGCUUUGCCUUGCAUUUUACCAGGUCUAUGUUUUUUCACAACCUCUUGUCAUGUUUAGAAUGUUGAAUCAGGUGCUUUUGUACCUAUAAAGUUAAAUAUACAACUUUCAGCAACGGAUCUCUUGGCUCUCGCAUCGAUGAAGAACGCAGCGAAAUGCGAUAAGUAAUGUGAAUUGCAGAAUUCAGUGAAUCAUCGAAUCUUUGAACGCACCUUGCGCUCCCUGGUAUUCCUAGGAGCAUGCCUGUUUGAGUGUCAUUUAAGUUCUCAACUGCACUUUUUUGGUGUGGCUUGGAUGUGGAGGUUUUCUGCAGGCUUAGGUCGGCUCCUCUAAAAUGCAUUAGUGGUAUCUGAGCAGAUAAAACCUUGGUGUGAUAAUUUAUCUAUGCCAAUUAGUAUGCUGCAAUAUAACAGAUUGUACUGCUUCCAAAUAAACAAAACUUGAUUGAAUAAUUUGACCUCAAAUCAGGUAGGACUACCCGCUGAACUUAAGCAUAUCAAUAAGCGGAGGAAAAGAAACUAACAAGGAUUCCCCUAGUAACUGCGAGUGAAGCGGGAAAAGCUCAAAUUUGAAAUCUGGCGGUUCUUUACUGUCCGAGUUGUAAUCUAGAGAAGUGUUACCUGUGCUGGACCGUGUACAAGUCUCCUGGAAUGGAGCAUCAUAGAGGGUGAGAAUCCCGUCUUUGACAUGGACUACCUGUACAUUAUGGUGCGCUCUCAAAGAGUCGAGUUGUUUGGGAAUGCAGCUCAAAAUGGGUGGUAAAUGCCAUCUAAAGCUAAAUAUUGGCGAGAGACCGAUAGCGAACAAGUACCGUGAGGGAAAGAUGAAAAGAACUUUGGAAAGAGAGUUAAACAGUACGUGAAAUUGCUGAAAGGGAAACGCUUGAAGUCAGUCGCGUUGGCUAGAAAUCAACCUUGCUCUUGCUUGGUGUACUUUCUGGUUUGACGGGUCAGCAUCAAUUUUGACCAUUGGAUAAAGUCAUUGGGAAUGUGGCAUCCUUGGAUGUGUUAUAGCCCUUUGUCGCAUACAGUGGUUGGGAUUGAGGAACUCAGCACGCCGCAAAGGCCGGGUUCGACCACGUUUC
RNAcentral lists this ribosomal RNA (1253 nucleotides) under uncultured Inocybe. RNAcentral's name for it is "eukaryotic LSU rRNA". The stretch from base 624 to 1253 matches the Rfam family "Eukaryotic large subunit ribosomal RNA", at positions 1 to 611 of the family's 3401-position model. The record is from RNAcentral. Lineage: Eukaryota; Fungi; Basidiomycota; Agaricomycetes; Agaricales; Cortinariaceae.